Molecule: RNA transcript, 3490 nt
Organism: Macaca mulatta (Rhesus monkey)
Lineage: Eukaryota; Metazoa; Chordata; Mammalia; Primates; Cercopithecidae
Gene: USP3
Gene name: ubiquitin specific peptidase 3
Source: RefSeq, marked provisional
CCUCCCCAUGGCCCAGCAUAUGUGAUAGCUCCUACCUUCUGGAGAAUGGCUCUAGCUCAGGAGAGGAUAGAGCUUCUUCAUCUCCUCCAUACAAAGGGGCCCUCCUGCCAACUUGAAGAACUUGAGGCUGAGGUGAGAACAGGGAUAGAAGAAGAUUCUGAAGCUGUAGCUGAAAAGGAGGCAGUGAAAGGAGCCUAGUUAGUGCCAGCCUCUGGGCCAAGAGGUGAGACACUGCGGUCAGGGUUGGAAGAAUCCAAGCAAACCGAAGAAAUUUGCUGGAGGACAGGGUAUCUUGGUUUGAGGAAAUUUUACAAUCUGAGUAAAAGAUGAGUUUCAUUUAUGAGACUCCCAAUCACGCUGCUAUGGCCAAGUGUAACAGUGUGAGAGAUAAAUUGCCUGGCUUCCUUUUCCCUGACAUCACCUUGAAGUGUAAUUGGGUGUAUUAAAGAGCCCUUAUAAAUUCCCAGAUUUCACUUUUUGAGCCUUCACAAGGGUCUGUCCUUAUCACCCUUUCUCUCAAGUACUAGCAUUUAAGAUUAAAAAAAUAAACACUUUGGUUUAAUAUUUUUGUGUUUUGCUGAAUAGAUACUAUAUUCAGAGCCUAAAAUAUUUUUAUUACUGUGUGGUUUUAUUGCGUGGGGAUAUGUAUAAGUAUGUGCGUGUAUAUGAGUAUUUCAGCUAUAUUAUGUUUCAUUUAGGGCUUUACAGACGACCCUGGAAACCUUUAAUACUGUUUCCAUGGGAGAUGUGUUUAUCCUGCAGCCUUCAAAUGUUUAUCUGGUGUGACUGUAUUAUGCCCUCAGAGAGUACUGUAUGUUGCCCAGGCUGUCCUCGAACUCUAGGCUCAAGUGAUUCUUCUGCCUCAGCCUCCCAAGUAGCUGGGACUACAGAUGCAAUCACCACCACACUUGGCAGUGUGCCGGUCCAACAAAAGCCCUUGGGUCUGUUUGACUUGUUCAAGUGUCCACUGUGGAAGGUAUGUGAAUGGCCAUGCAAAAAAACAUUAUGAAGAUGCACAAGUACCCUUAACCAACCAUAAGAAAUCAGAAAAGCAAGAUAAAGCUCAGCACACAGUAUGCAUGGAUUGCAGUAGCUACAGUACAUACUGUUAUCGCUGUGAUGAUUUUGUGGUCAAUGACACCAAGCUGGGACUGGUACAGAAAGUCAGAGAACACUUACAGAACUUGGAAAACUCAGCUUUCACAGCUGAUAGGCAUAGGAAAAGAAAACUUUUGGAAAACUCCACACUAAACAGCAAGUUAUUAAAAGUAAAUGGAAGCACCACUGCCAUUUGUGCCACAGGCCUUCGGAAUUUGGGGAACACGUGUUUCAUGAACGCCAUCCUUCAGUCACUCAGUAACAUUGAGCAGUUUUGCUGUUAUUUCAAAGAACUGCCCGCUGUGGAGUUAAGGAAUGGGAAAACAGCAGGAAGGCGGACAUACCACACCAGGAGCCAAGGGGAUAACAAUGUGUCUUUGGUAGAAGAGUUUAGAAAGACACUCUGUGCUUUAUGGCAAGGCAGCCAGACUGCAUUUAGCCCAGAGUCCUUAUUUUAUGUUGUUUGGAAGAUUAUGCCAAACUUUAGGGGCUAUCAACAGCAAGACGCCCAUGAAUUCAUGCGCUACCUUUUGGACCACCUACACUUGGAACUCCAGGGCGGUUUCAAUGGUGUUUCCCGCUCAGCAAUUCUGCAGGAGAAUUCUACUCUAUCUGCAAGUAACAAGUGUUGCAUAAAUGGAGCAUCUACUGUUGUCACGGCUAUAUUCGGAGGCAUUCUCCAAAAUGAGGUUAACUGCCUCAUAUGUGGGACAGAAUCUAGAAAGUUUGAUCCAUUCCUAGACCUUUCAUUAGAUAUUCCAAGUCAGUUCAGAAGUAAGCGCUCUAAGAAUCAAGAAAAUGGACCAGUUUGUUCAUUACGAGAUUGUCUUCGCAGUUUUACUGACUUAGAAGAACUUGAUGAGACAGAGUUAUAUAUGUGCCAUAAAUGCAAAAAGAAACAAAAGUCCACAAAAAAGUUUUGGAUUCAAAAACUACCCAAGGUGCUAUGCUUACAUUUGAAAAGAUUUCACUGGACAGCAUAUUUAAGAAAUAAAGUUGAUACAUAUGUAGAAUUUCCAUUGAGAGGCCUAGACAUGAAAUGCUACUUACUAGAGCCUGAGAACAGUGGCCCGGAGAGCUGCCUGUAUGACCUCGCCGCUGUGGUGGUGCACCAUGGUUCCGGGGUUGGUUCUGGACAUUACACAGCAUACGCAACUCACGAAGGCCGCUGGUUCCACUUCAAUGACAGUACUGUAACACUGACUGACGAGGAGACUGUGGUGAAGGCAAAGGCCUACAUCCUUUUCUACGUGGAACGCCAGGCCAAAGCUGGAUCAGAUAAACUUUAAUACCUCCUCCAAAUCAUCAUUCAUCAACCAUACCAGAGAAACAUUUCCAGUUUUCCACAAAUACUUGAUCCAAGAUUUAAUUUCAUUAUGCACUUUUCAAUUUCCUAUUUUGGGUUUAGUUUUGUCAAUGGUAGUGAGUUACUGAACAUGGGCACCAACUAAUUUUGUUGUUGUUCUACCAGAAAACCUCAGCAGACAUUUUGAUUUGCUGCUUUAGUUGUAAUAAUUCAAUUUUUAUAUGUAGUUUUAAGAACUUAGUCUUAUUUGACUUUUUUAUUUUAUGUUAAUGUUUUCAGUUCUCACUAUGAGGCACAUUUACAUCAAUGCUUUUGUUCCUCUCACAUGCUGAAAGCAAGAUAUGUUCCUUAUUGUGAAGAGUGACACAACUGCCUGCUGUCUUUUCACAGCUGUAAUGGAGAUCAGGUUGUCUCUAAAUCAAGGAUCAUGUGUGCACACAACUUGUGGCCCACAAAAUUUCACAGUGACUGCUGAGUAAUCAUUCUUUUUGCCUGUAAAAGAUAACAAAGGGCAUCAUUAAGUAGACCAGGGCUUUUCCCGUGUGCCAUGUUGUCUCCAGCAAUAUAUGUGGCUUCUCGCUCAGAGCUUCUGCUGAGGCAGGGCCUCGCACUGAGUCACAUGGCUCCUUGGAACAAGAAAACUUUCUCAGAAGUCCUCCCACACAGCCCCUGAACUCUCUCCUGUACCCUCUGUUGCUGAAGUGGCCUCUUCACUUGGGCCCUGGAAAAGCCCAUGGAAAAAGUCCGUUCCUGCAGCCAAGGCCUGGGGCCCAGGUGACUAGGAGUAGCCAUAGGCAGGCGAGGAAAAAGUGGGCAUGUGCUGUCGUCUGUAGUCCAAGGUCUCUGCGUCUCGUCAGUGGGUGCAAUGCCUUCCCCCUCAGGUGUGAGCGUGAUGGACUCUAGACUGCCUUCCAUGAGCGUUGGUCAUGCUGUGAUGUCAUCAUUUUCCAUUAAAACCCAGUGUGUAUGAUGCCAAGAAGAUUAAUUGUGCAAGUGACUGAUUCAUUUAAAUUGUAAUCACAUCCCUUUUCUGCUUCACCAACCUGAACUGUUUUAAAAAGUAUCAUUAAAAGUCUGUUCUCUUUC